UUUAUUUUAUUCUUCAACAUUAAGGUAACUGCAAAUGUAUUGUUGAAAGAAAAUAAAGAUAGUUCUCGGGCUUUAGUCUGCAAUAACUUAAAGAAAAGGACCUAGA
Molecule: non-coding RNA, 106 nt
Organism: Ochotona princeps (American pika)
Lineage: Eukaryota; Metazoa; Chordata; Mammalia; Lagomorpha; Ochotonidae
Source: Rfam